GUAGUCUCGCACAGAUGCAUAUCAAUAAGCGGAGGAAAAGAAACUAACAAGGAUUCCCUCAGUAACGGCGAGUGAAGCGGGAAGAGCUCAAAUUUGAAAUCUUGAAAGGUCACCUUUCACGAAUUGUAGUUUAAAGAAGUGUUUUCUGUUACGAUCGUAAUAUAAGUUCUUUGGAAUAGGACAUCACAGAGGGUGAGAAUCCCGUCUAUGAUUGCGAUUUGUAGCUUUGUGAUACACUUUCAAAGAGUCGGGUUGUUUGGGAAUGCAGCCCAAAACGGGAGGUAAAUUUCUUCUAAGGCUAAAUAUUGGCGAGAGACCGAUAGCGAACAAGUACCGUGAGGGAAAGAUGAAAAGAACUUUGAAAAGAGAGUUAAAUAGUACGUGAAAUUGUCAAAAGGGAAGCGUUUAACACCAGUGUUGUUUUCUGAAAAUCAACCUCUGUUAGCUUUAUGCAUGUUUGUUUAGACCUAAUCAGCUAUCUUUCAUGUUCUAUUGUUUGCAGUGGUGCACUUUUCAGUUUACAGGUCAACAUCAGUUUUUUUUACCGUAAAAAAGUUAAAGAAAGGUAGCUCAUGGCUCCGGUCGUGAGUGUUAUAGUCUUUUUCCUAUGCGGUAGGAGAGACUGAGGUCUGCAGCGUAGAUCCUUCGGGGUUAGAUACGUUUGUGCUAAGCUACUAGCUUUUCAUAGACAACUUGUUGACUAUGUUUAGUCUUGUGACUUACUCCGCUUAUGCUAUUUUACCUACGCUUAGGAUGUUGAGCGCAUGUCUCUCUCU
This 776-nucleotide ribosomal RNA is filed under the name uncultured Neocallimastigales. Its description in RNAcentral is "partial large subunit ribosomal RNA". It matches the Rfam family "Eukaryotic large subunit ribosomal RNA", at positions 24 to 616 of the family's 3401-position model. Lineage: Eukaryota; Fungi; Neocallimastigomycota; Neocallimastigomycetes; Neocallimastigales. The record is from RNAcentral.